This 186-nucleotide small nuclear RNA is filed under the name Aphidius gifuensis. RNAcentral describes it as "U2 spliceosomal RNA". It matches the Rfam family "U2 spliceosomal RNA". Rfam says of the family: U2 is a small nuclear RNA (snRNA) component of the spliceosome (involved in pre-mRNA splicing). Complementary binding between U2 snRNA (in an area lying towards the 5' end but 3' to hairpin I) and the branchpoint sequence (BPS) of the intron results the bulging out of an unpaired adenosine, on the BPS, which initiates a nucleophilic attack at the intronic 5' splice site, thus starting the first of two transesterification reactions that mediate splicing. The record is from Rfam by way of RNAcentral. Lineage: Eukaryota; Metazoa; Arthropoda; Insecta; Hymenoptera; Braconidae.
UUUUUUUGUUUGGUUUUCAAUAAAUAUCAUUAUAUCUGUUCUUAUCAGCUUAAUAUCUGAUACGCUCCUCAUUGAGGGGCCAGAAUAUUAAACUGAUUUUUGGAAAUAGGUAGAAGUCGGGGCUUGCUCUGACUCUACCACGGGUUGAUCUGGUAUUGCAGUACCACCAGAAACAGCCCACAUACU